GGGCCCGCACAAGCGGUGGAGCAUGUGGUUUAAUUCGAUGAUACGCGAGGAACCUUACCAGGGCUUAAAUGUAAGUUGCAUAGAUCAGAGAUGGUCUUUUCUUCGGACUACUUACAAGGUGCUGCAUGGUUGUCGUCAGCUCGUGCCGUGAGGUGUCAGGUUAAGUCCUAUAACGAGCGCAACCCCUGUCGUUAGUUACCAGCAAGUAAUGUUGGGUACUCUAGCGAGACUGCCGGUGCAAACCGUGAGGAAGGUGGGGACGACGUCAAGUCAUCAUGGCCCUUACGUCCAGGGCUGCACACGUGCUACAAUGGUCGGUACAAUGGGUCGCCACCCAGCGAUGGGGCGCAAA
This 352-nucleotide ribosomal RNA is filed under the name uncultured bacterium. Its description in RNAcentral is "bacterial SSU rRNA". It matches the Rfam family "Bacterial small subunit ribosomal RNA", at positions 917 to 1271 of the family's 1533-position model. The record is from RNAcentral.